This 440-nucleotide ribosomal RNA is filed under the name uncultured bacterium. RNAcentral's name for it is "partial 16S ribosomal RNA". It matches the Rfam family "Bacterial small subunit ribosomal RNA", at positions 338 to 795 of the family's 1533-position model. The record is from RNAcentral.
CCUACGGGGGGCAGCAGUGGGGAAUAUUGCACAAUGGGGGAAACCCUGAUGCAGCGACGCCGCGUGAGUGAAGAAGUAUUUCGGUAUGUAAAGCUCUGUCAGCAGGGAAGAAAAUGACGGUACCCGACCAAGAAGCCCCGGCUAACUACGUGCCAGCAGCCGCGGUAAUACGUAGGGGGCAAGCGUUAUCCCGAUUUACUGGGUGUAAAGGGGGCGUAGACGGGAGGGCAAGUCUGGGGUGAAAGGCGGGGGCUCAAACCCCGGACUGCACUGGAAACUGCCAGGCUGGAGGGCAGGAGAGGUAGGCGGAAUUCCUAGUGUAGCGGUGAAAUGCGUAGAUAUUAGGAGGAACACCAGUGGCGAAGGCGGCUUGCUGGACUGUAACUGACGUUGAGGCUCGAAAGCGUGGGGAGCAAACAGGAUUAGAUACCCGAGUAGUC